GACGAGGGGUCCAAGCGUUGUUCGGAAUCAUUGGGCGUAAAGCGGGUGUAGGCGGCUUUGUAAGUCAGGAGUGAAAGCCCUGGGCUCAACCCAGGAAGUGCUUUUGAUACUGCAGAGCUUGAGUGUGGGAGAGGAUAGUGGAAUUCCAGGUGUAGUGGUGAAAUACGUAGAUAUCUGGAGGAACACCGGAGGCGAAGGCGGCUAUCUGGCCCAACACUGACGCUCAGACCCGAAAGCAUGGGGAUCAAACAGG
This 253-nucleotide unclassified non-coding RNA is filed under the name uncultured Pseudobdellovibrionaceae bacterium. RNAcentral's name for it is "uncultured Bdellovibrionaceae bacterium contains 16S-23S intergenic spacer region". It matches the Rfam family "Bacterial small subunit ribosomal RNA", at positions 524 to 776 of the family's 1533-position model. The record is from RNAcentral. Lineage: Bacteria; Pseudomonadati; Bdellovibrionota; Bdellovibrionia; Bdellovibrionales; Pseudobdellovibrionaceae.